This 779-nucleotide ribosomal RNA is filed under the name uncultured Neocallimastigales. RNAcentral's name for it is "partial large subunit ribosomal RNA". It matches the Rfam family "Eukaryotic large subunit ribosomal RNA", at positions 26 to 618 of the family's 3401-position model. The record is from RNAcentral. Lineage: Eukaryota; Fungi; Neocallimastigomycota; Neocallimastigomycetes; Neocallimastigales.
CGUCUAUAUACGUAUAGCAUAUCAAUAAGCGGAGGAAAAGAAACUAGCAAGGAUUCCCUUAGUAACGGCGAGUGAAGCGGGAAGAGCUCAAAUUUGAAAUCUUCAAGGUUCUACCUUGACGAAUUGUAGUUUAAGGAAGUGUUUUCUGUUAGAGGAGUAGCAAAAGUUCCUUGGAAUAGGACAUCAUAGAGGGUGAGAAUCCCGUAUUUGGUUAUUCUUUCUAGCUUUGUGAUACACUUUCAAAGAGUCGGAUUGUUUGGGAAUGCAGUCCAAAAUGGGUGGUAAAUUUCAUCUAAAGCUAAAUAUUGGCGAGAGACUCUGAUAGCGAACAAGUACCGUGAGGGAAAGAUGAAAAGAACUUUGAAAAGAGAGUUAAACAGUACGUGAAUUUGUCAAAAGGGAGGCGUUUGACACCAGUGUUGUUUUUCCGAAAAUCAAUUAAGAGUGGCUUGAUUUUGUGUUGUAUUGACCUUAUCAGCUUUCUUCACUCUUUUUCGAGUCUUUCUUAAUGCACUUUUCGGUUAACAAGUCAACAUCAAUUUCUUUUGUUGUAAAAGGGUAUUUGGAAGGUGGCUUUCUUUUUCGGAGAAAGUGUUUAUAGCCUUAUACCUCUACAAUCGGAGAGAUUGUAGGUCUGCAGCGUAGAUCCUUCGGGGCUAGAUACACUUGUGCUAAGUUAUAGCUUUUCAUAGACAACUUGUUGACUAUGUUUAGUCAUGUAGCUUACCCGCUUGUGCUAUUUUACCUACGCUUAGGAUGUUGAGUCAUCACACAUCUCU